UGGGGAAUAUUGCACAAUGGGCGCAAGCCUGAUGCAGCCAUGCCGCGUGUAUGAAGAAGGCCUUCGGGUUGUAAAGCACUUUCAGUCGGGAGGAAGGUGGUAAGGUUAAUAACCUUGGCAAUUGACGUUACCGACAGAAGAAGCACCGGCUAACUCCGUUCCAGCAGCCGCGGUAAUACGGAGGGUGCAAGCGUUAAUCGGAAUUACUGGGCGUAAAGCGCACGCAGGCGGUCGAUUGAGUCAGAUGUGAAAUCCCCGGGCUUAACCCGGGAAUUGCAUCUGAUACUGGUCAGCUAGAGUCUUGUAGAGGGAGGUAGAAUUCCAUGUGUAGCGGUGAAAUGCGUAGAGAUGUGGAGGAAUACCGGUGGCAAAGACGGCACCCUGGACAAAGGCUAACGAUCAGGUACGAAAGCGUGGGGAGCAAACAGG
This 429-nucleotide ribosomal RNA is filed under the name Chloroflexota bacterium. Its description in RNAcentral is "Chloroflexi bacterium partial 16S ribosomal RNA". It matches the Rfam family "Bacterial small subunit ribosomal RNA", at positions 355 to 776 of the family's 1533-position model. Lineage: Bacteria; Bacillati; Chloroflexota. The record is from RNAcentral.